This is a long non-coding RNA of Patella vulgata (common limpet), 3890 nucleotides long. RefSeq lists it as uncharacterized. NCBI's taxonomy places the organism in Eukaryota, Metazoa, Mollusca, Gastropoda, Patellidae. The record is from RefSeq and is a predicted model, not a curated record. The transcript is spliced from 5 exons.
UGAUGUCCAAUAUUUAAGACAAAAUAAAUAUUUUAGCAUUGGUACACGAAUCGUGUACCAUAAUGCGUUUCAGCCCCAGUUCUAGCAAGAGACUAGAGGAACGAGGCUAGACAUAUUGCACCAAACCAAACGGCUUAUGUAGACUGGAAUAACCAGACGCUAGGAAUUUGCACUCGAUUGAGACUGCCGGCUUAUUUCUCGGAACAUAACCGAUUUGAAAUUAUAGUAAAAACGGAAACGAUUGAAUAUAAAAACAUCAUUUGGUGUGGAGGAUCAAAGACACUGAUCAUGUUGAUGAAACAAGCGUCAAUGAAUUCCUGUAUAGCAAAUAUUUUCAGACUUCUAGGACAAUGGAUUUCAACAUUUUCUGUAUUAUUUUACAUCUUAAAAUUACCUGAUAUUAUAAAUGCUGAGAUUCUUGCUAUUCAUGUCGUCUUGAAUAAAACAUGUGAUGAUUGGGCAAGUCUAAACUGGAACCAGAAACCACAAUUUUUAAGUGAAACAUCUCGAUGUCAGUUGACAACGGUUGCAUUAAAAACAAACUCAACAGAUAUUCAGUCAAUUUAUCCAAGAGAUUAUCAGGAGUUAAAAUUAACAAAGUUAAAAGAAAAUUCACCGUAUAUGUUUUAUAUGCUGUGUGAUAGAGUUUAUAUAUCAAAUAAUGUUUCCUUUGUCACAGGUUCUAAGUGUUCCACACAUGAAGAUGAUUCUACUCCAUAUUUUGUAAAAGAACCAGAAAUGGCCGUAGAAAUACCAGUAUCAUUAUCAGAUAUAGUUCUCGGAACUGUUUUUGCACUAGUAGGACUUAUAAUCAUUUGUGUCUUUCUUUAUCAUUUUUGGAAAAGUUAUGUUCGUAGACAAAGAAUUAAUAGAAUUUUCAGGGAAGUGGAAACCGAUCCGUUUACAUAUUUACAAAAUCAUAUGGAAGAACAAAGUGCCGUUAAUCUAUAACAACACAGGCGUGAUGGAAAUGUAGAUCUGUAUAUAUUACUUCAUCCCAAUCAUUUUUAAUAAACAAAACAAUUUACGAAAUCCAAAUGAGAAACCACUUCAGAGCAUGUCUUCCUGAUUGUUGAUUGAAGGACAUUACAUACAUGCACUUAAUUUUUAUAUGACCACAUUUGUCGUACAUUGACAUCACCCAUGUCCAUAUGUCCGUCCCAAAGCAAUUGUGGAUGCUGUCGAAGAGAAACUUCUCAUCUAAUUGACUGUGUUUAUGUUCAUGAGGUGAAUAUUUGGUCCCUUGAUCACUUAUGUUCCUAAUAGUAAGUGCAGGGGACUGCACCACACAUAAUUACACAAAACAAAUGUACGGACAAGACACAAUAUGCAGAAAUCACAAACAAACGUACAUAUCAGAUAAAGUGAAUAGAUCCAGGGGCUAGCCGAAUAGAUCCCGGGCCUGUAGUGAUACAGACUUCACUCAAAUUUGAAAACAAUCAGGGAUGUAACUGUUACACGGAGAAACCAUUGUGUAAUAGCAGCAUGAGUCAUGAUCUGCUAUAUUUUACAUGAAAUAUGAAUGUAAGCACAUUGAAGUAAAAAUUACCUGUACACAAGUAAACAUAUCGGUGAAAUGUAUAAAAAACGAGGUACUACAGGUAAUCUAAAACUAAAUGCUCUAUGUUAUUUGUUAAGUGAGAAACAUUUUAAGUGUUCAAAAGAAUUGAGGUAUAUUGACUAUAAAGUUAGGGCAUAUGUUCCAUUUACCAGAAAAACAGAGGAGAUGGAGAAGUAUCUCGAUUUAUUAAUUAACGGUUCACGAUUGUUUAAGUUAGAGCUAGGAAGAACUGAAACCUAUCAAAUUUUAAUUAUUUCUGAUGUCAAUGAUUAACUAAUGGAUUGUUGCCCUUGAUAAGCUUUUAGUGUCUUGUAAGAGCCCCCACUACUAACAAAAGAAUAAAAAUGUGAUUACCUUUAUGGACUGCUCAGACGACUUAGCUGCUGACGGUGUAUGUUUCAUUGGCUGCCAACCUAUCUUUUAAAGUGAAACAUAUCGACAUUAGGUUAUUCUUUGUAUUCUUAAUAACCUUUAUCAAAUCACCUUAAUUGAUAAAAUGUAUGUAUAUAUGAAUACAUGUAGAUGGGGUUUAACAUCUGCUCAACACAAAUUAAAUCAUUUUGUGACUAACAAUUACAUUUUAUAUCAUCAUUUGCUUGCGUGCUGGGGUCUUUUAGAGUGGAAGCAUAAUGGAGGACCCACAGAAAACCCAUGACGUAAGGCUCAUGACAAACCUUCCCAUGGUACUGUUAAACAUGUAGGUAUCACAUGAACCUAUGUUCCAUACUGAUCAGCAGUGAAUAUUCGCUAUCCCACUACAAUCACUGAGAGGGAAGUAUUGGGAAAAUAUAUUAAGGUGUUUGAAGUAUAUCUGUAAAAAAUAAUUCCUAUUUAGUGUAAAUGGAUAUAUAAAAUGAGUAAAAGUUCAUCCAGAUUUUCCGGCGUGGUUCCCCCUUGUCAGUGAUGCAGGACGGAAGGGCUGACAAGGACAGCUGUCUAGUCCUUCGGAUGAGAUGAAAAACCAAGGUCCCGUGUAUACAUUAGAAUGCACAUAAAAGAUCCCUUGGCAGUUGGAAUUCGAUAUAAGAGUAGGCGAUAGUGCCACUGCCCGGGCAAAAUUUCCCUCAUCGCACACUGUAUGGCGUAUGCCCGUCUUCAUUAGCCCAGCAUAGGAGCAGAACAGUAGGACGUUAAACACCAUUUCAUUUCAUUUCUCAGAUACCUGUAGUAUCAUACAAUUCCUAGUAAAGCCCACUUAUUAAUACAACAUGGUAAUUAACAUCAUAAUUUAUGGAAUUCCAUACCAUUAAGUCUAAAAUGUGCCCCCUUCACUGGAAUCAUUCAAAUCGAGAUUAAAGACUCAUCUGUUUGAAUGUGAAUACAGUUGUAUUUGACUGAAUAUACUGUUGUGUAAAUGGUGAAAGAUACACAGUGUACAUAGUGUUUGGCGCUUUGAGCAUGCAUACGUGUAUGGAAAUUUGCACAUUAUAAAUAUACACUAUUAUUAUUAUUAUCUGUCUCUAUUGGGUGAUCUAACACAUGAACUUUGGAUCAUAAGGUCUGUCAUUGAGUCAAGUCGCAGGUUUUUGAUCCCAAGGUUGUCUGUGACAAGUGUAGGGUUACCUGUCCAACCUCGUGUUUUUUCUGUUGGUUCUCUGGUUUUCUCCCACUGCUAAAGACCCCUACACACAAGUAAAUUAUUGAAAUAAAAUUGAACCAUGUUAGUCCCAAAUUAGUGUUUACUGGACAUUGAACCAAAUUUAUCUCUCUCUUGUCUUGGUUACCUCGUGUUUAAGUUACAUAAUAUAUAUUUCUAUAUUAUACUGAUAUAUGUAAUAGAAAGUGUGUUCAUGAUUUCUGUCUGUAAUAUUUCAAAUUUUAUUCUUUUCACCCCCUUAAGCCCUAAAGAUGGUUGUUUUAAAACCAGAAAUAAUGUUUAUUUAGGAGGCUAAAGAACAUUUUUUAGGUAGCCUCACCCCAUAAAACCACAAAAGUUUUAUAAUGGGCUACAUUUUAGUUAAAAUAAGACAAACAAUAGAGUAAAUUCUUAACCUAAGUCUGAGAAUGUUUUGUGAAACCGACACCUGAUUAUCUGGGGCCUGUUUCACGAAAUUUUAACUAAGAUAAAAUCCAGAUUUUAGUAAUUUGAUUGGGUAAUAUUAGAUUGAUUUUAGUGCUUAGCCAAUCAAAAUUGAAGUAUCUACAAAAAUUUGGAUUUUAUCUUUAGUUAAGAUUUCGAGAAACAGGGCCCAGUUACUGUAUUAAACAUAUUUAAAGAGUAUUUAUCAUAUUUUACUUGCCAGUUUGUUAAAUAUGUCACCAAGCUUGUUUGAUAGAUGUAUAUUUUGUAUGUGCUAUUUUUGCGUUGAUUAAAGUAUGGCUUCUUAAA